This 377-nucleotide ribosomal RNA is filed under the name uncultured bacterium. RNAcentral's name for it is "bacterial SSU rRNA". It matches the Rfam family "Bacterial small subunit ribosomal RNA", at positions 521 to 896 of the family's 1533-position model. The record is from RNAcentral.
UAAUACGUAGGGGGCAAGCGUUGUCCGGAUUUAUUGGGCGUAAAGAGCGUGUAGGCGGCCAGACAGGUCCGUUGUGAAAACUAGAGGCUUAACCUCUAGACGUCGAUGGAAACCGUCUGGCUAGAGUCCGGAAGAGGAGAAUGGAAUUCCUGGUGUAGCGGUGAAAUGCGCAGAUAUCAGGAAGAACACCCGUGGCUAAGGCGGUUCUCUAGUACGGUACUGACGCUGAGACGCGAAAGCGUGGGGAGCGAACAGGAUUAGAUACCCUGGUAGUCCACGCCGUAAACGAUGGGUGCUAGGUGUGGGGGGUGUCGACUCCCUCCGUGCCGAAGCUAACGCAUUAAGCACCCCGCCUGGGGAGUACGGCCGCAAGGCUA